Molecule: ribosomal RNA, 393 nt
Filed under: uncultured bacterium
Lineage: Bacteria
Description: partial 16S ribosomal RNA
Rfam family: Bacterial small subunit ribosomal RNA
Source: RNAcentral
AUACGUAGGGGGCGAGCGUUAUCCGGAAUUAUUGGGCGUAAAGAGUGCGUAGGUGGUUACCUAAGCGCAGGGUUUAAGGCAAUGGCUCAACCAUUGUAUGCCUUGCGAACUGGGCUACUUGAGUGCAGGAGAGGAAAGCGGAAUUCCUAGUGUAGCGGUGAAAUGCGUAGAUAUUAGGAGGAACACCAGUGGCGAAGGCGGCUUUCGGGACUGUAACUGACACUGAGGCACGAAAGCGUGGGGAGCAAACAGGAUUAGAUACCCUGGUAGUCCACGCCGUAAACGAUGAGCACUAGGUGUCGGGGUCGCAAGACUUCGGUGCCGCAGUUAACGCAUUAAGUGCUCCGCCUGGGGAGUACGCACGCAAGUGUGAAACUCAAAUGAAUUGACGGG